RNAcentral lists this ribosomal RNA (497 nucleotides) under uncultured bacterium. RNAcentral describes it as "partial 16S ribosomal RNA". It matches the Rfam family "Bacterial small subunit ribosomal RNA", at positions 28 to 507 of the family's 1533-position model. The record is from RNAcentral.
GAUGAACGCUGGCGGCGUGCCUAAUACAUGCAAGUCGAGCGAACAGAUGAGGAGCUUGCUCCUCUGACGUUAGCGGCGGACGGGUGAGUAACACGUGGAUAACCUACCUAUAAGACUGGGAUAACUUCGGGAAACCGGAGCUAAUACCGGAUAAUAUAUUGAACCGCAUGGUUCAAUAGUGAAAGACGGUUUUGCUGUCACUUAUAGAUGGAUCCGCGCCGCAUUAGCUAGUUGGUAAGGUAACGGCUUACCAAGGCAACGAUGCGUAGCCGACCUGAGAGGGUGAUCGGCCACACUGGAACUGAGCCGCGGUCCAGACUCCUACGGGAGGCCGCAGUAGGGAAUCUUCCGCAAUGGGCGAAAGCCUGACGGAGCAACGCCGCGUGAGUGAUGAAGGUCUUCGGAUCGUAAAACUCUGUUAUUAGGGAAGAACAAAUGUGUAAGUAACUAUGCACGUCUUGACGGUACCUAAUCAGAAAGCCACGGCUAACUACGUG